This is a long non-coding RNA of Hordeum vulgare subsp. vulgare (domesticated barley), 571 nucleotides long. RefSeq lists it as uncharacterized. The record is from RefSeq and is a predicted model, not a curated record. NCBI's taxonomy places the organism in Eukaryota, Viridiplantae, Streptophyta, Magnoliopsida, Poales, Poaceae. The transcript is spliced from 3 exons.
ACUAUUUUGUCAUGCGAUAUGAACUACUAAGUUGAAGAUCAAGGUGGAAUUCGCUGAUAUUAUUCUGGUGAUAUAUUAUAUUCGGAAGGAUAUCCUUAUUUAAACCAGAGGUUAUGGCUGAAAUGCCCCAGCUUUUGAAUGGUUAUCACGACAACCACCACCGUUGCCAGCUUUUCAUAAAUCCAAAUCAUGAAAAUCCUCCUCAGACCUUCCGGCUUCGAACUGUAAAGACGCCCUGGUCAAUAGAGAAUCGGUUCCUUGAACACCUUGAGGCUUAUGGACUCCUACAUUUUGCGAACAUCGCAGCUCGUCGAGGUAGUUUUACUGCCGACCCAUCCCUUUUGACAUCCCUCGUUGAUAGAUGGAGACCGGAGACCCACACAUUUCACUUUCGAUGUGGAGAGCUUGCACCUACUCUAAAAGAUGUGUCAAUGAUCACAGCUUUACCAAUUAGAGGUGUGCCAGUGGUACAUCCACGAGUUUCUCCUAAUUGGCCAGCAGAUGUCUCUGCCCGUCUGAGGCUCGAAAUGCCCAUAUCAGAUCGUUCUGGUCCGCCUCGAGGUGUCCCACA